This 253-nucleotide ribosomal RNA is filed under the name uncultured bacterium. Its description in RNAcentral is "partial 16S ribosomal RNA". It matches the Rfam family "Bacterial small subunit ribosomal RNA", at positions 524 to 776 of the family's 1533-position model. The record is from RNAcentral.
UACGUAGGGCGCAAGCGUUGUCCGGAAUUAUUGGGCGUAAAGAGCUCGUAGGCGGUUUGUCGCGUCUGUCGUGAAAGCUUGGGGCUUAACCCCAAGUCUGCGGUGGAUACGGGCAGACUAGAGGCAGGUAGGGGAGAACGGAAUUCCAGGUGUAGCGGUGAAAUGCGUAGAUAUCUGGAGGAACACCGGUGGCGAAGGCGGCAUCCUGGACCGGCAUUGACGCUGAGGAGCGAAAGCCAGGGGAGCAAACGGG